UCAGCAUACGACAGCGGCGCGCAGCACCUGCUAGUCAGCCCCCCAGUGGUCUGGCGACACGCUCAAUGUGCGGAAAGAGCCUGGCUUCAGGCAAAUCCGCAGCCCGCAGCCCUUACCCGGCGGUCGGCUCAGAGACUCAAUGAGUGUGGGUUUGGCGCCUAGCCAAGCUUAAGAUAGAGCCCAGCCCGGCAUGCAAUUGCUGGGACCAACUGGAACCUGCGGAAGGAUCAUUA
This 233-nucleotide ribosomal RNA is filed under the name Lophodermium sp. H64. Its description in RNAcentral is "partial 18S ribosomal RNA". The record is from RNAcentral. Lineage: Eukaryota; Fungi; Ascomycota; Leotiomycetes; Rhytismatales; Rhytismataceae.